AUGGGCGAGUUCGACGAUUACUGGGCGCGGGCGUACAGGGGCGACCCCGCGGUGCCGCACUCCGACCCGCAGCGGCUCAUCUCCACCUGGACCGGCGCCUUCGCCCUCGGCGCCGCCGCCUGCGUCCACCACCACGUCACCGGCCUCGCCUCCAACCUCAAGUCCCUCCCCCACAGUUCCAUAACCUUCACCGCUUGGGCCACAGUUGGAAGAGCUUUCUACCUGGCUGUUGGGCAUGGCAGAGGAAGUUCUGCAUCAGUUUGGUUUCGUGGAUAG
This 276-nucleotide ribosomal RNA is filed under the name Triticum aestivum (bread wheat). Its description in RNAcentral is "partial small subunit ribosomal RNA". The record is from RNAcentral. Lineage: Eukaryota; Viridiplantae; Streptophyta; Magnoliopsida; Poales; Poaceae.